This 652-nucleotide long non-coding RNA is filed under the name Rattus norvegicus (Norway rat). Its description in RNAcentral is "long non-coding RNA NONRATT028040". The record is from RNAcentral. Lineage: Eukaryota; Metazoa; Chordata; Mammalia; Rodentia; Muridae.
GGCACGCGUCCGUGUUCCUCGUUGGUCAUGGCGGACUACCUGAUUAGCGGAGGCACUUCUUACGUGCCAGACGACGGGCUCACCGCACAGCAGCUCUUCAACUGCGGGGACGGCCUGACCUACAAUGACUUUCUCAUUCUUCCUGGAUAUAUCGACUUCACUGCGGACCAGGUGGACUUGACCUCUGCUCUAACCAAGAAGAUUACUCUGAAGACCCCCUUGGUUUCCUCACCUAUGGACACUGUCACGGAGGCUGGAAUGGCCAUCGCAAUGGCGGAGGCAUUGGCUUCAUCCACCACAACUGCACACCUGAAUUCCAGGCCAAUGAAGUUCGGAAAGUGAAGAUACCGGCCGGAUGGGGAGUCGAUUGGUGGGCAUCAUCUCCUCGAGGGACAUUGACUUCCUCAAGGAGGAAGAGCAUGAUCGCUUCUUGGAAGAGAUCAUGACUAAGAGAGAAGAUUUAGUGGUAGCCCCUGCCGGCGUCACUCUAAAAGAAGCAAAUGAAAUUCUGCAGCGCAGUAAAAAGGGAAAGUUGCCCAUUGUGAAUGAGAGUGAUGAGCUGGUAGCCAUCAUCGCCCGGACAGACCUCAAGAAGAAUCGUGACUACCCACUGGCUUCCAAAGAUACCAAAAAGCAACUACUGUGUGGGGCA